GAUGAACGCUGGCGGCGUGCUUAACACAUGCAAGUCGAACGAGAAAUGUAGACGGAAACCUUCUGGCGGAAUCCUUCAUUUCUAGUGGCGGACGGGUUAGUCACGCGUGGGUAACCUGCCUCAUACAGGGGGAUAACAGUUGGAAACGACUGUUACUACCGCAUAAGACCACAGCAUCGCAUGAUUCGGGGGUUAGAACUCCGGUGGUAUGAUAUGGACCCGCGUUAGAUUAGCGAGUUGGCGGGGUAACUGCCCACCAAAGCGACGAUCGAUAGCCGAGCUGAGAGGAGGACAGGCUACAAUGGGAAUGAGACACGGACCAAAAUCGUACGGGAGGAAGGAGAGGGGAAUAUUGCACAAUGGGGGAAAACCUGAUGAAGCGACGCCGGGUGAGUGAAGAAGUAGGUCGGUAAGUAAAGCUGUAUCAGAAGGGAAGAAAAUGACGGUACCUGAGUAAGAAGCACCGGCUAACUACGUG
RNAcentral lists this ribosomal RNA (478 nucleotides) under uncultured bacterium. RNAcentral describes it as "partial 16S ribosomal RNA". It matches the Rfam family "Bacterial small subunit ribosomal RNA", at positions 28 to 507 of the family's 1533-position model. The record is from RNAcentral.